RNAcentral lists this ribosomal RNA (445 nucleotides) under uncultured bacterium. RNAcentral describes it as "bacterial SSU rRNA". It matches the Rfam family "Bacterial small subunit ribosomal RNA", at positions 329 to 792 of the family's 1533-position model. The record is from RNAcentral.
AUCCAGACUCCUACGGGAGGCAGCAGUGGGGAAUAUUGCACAAUGGGGGAAACCCUGAUGCAGCGACGCCGCGUGAGUGAAGAAGUAAUUCGUUAUGUAAAGCUCUAUCAGCAGGGAAGAGAAUGACGGUACCUGAGUAAGAAGCCCCGGCUAACUACGUGCCAGCAGCCGCGGUAAUACGUAGGUGGCAAGCGUUGUCCGGAAUUACUGGGUGUAAAGGGAGCGUAGGCGGGAAAGCAAGUUGAAUGUUUAAGGUACGGGCUCAACCUGUACAAGCGUUCAAAACUGUUUUUCUUGAGUGGAGUAGAGGUAAGCGGAAUUCCUAGUGUAGCGGUGAAAUGCGUAGAUAUUAGGAGGAACACCAGUGGCGAAGGCGGCCUGCUGGACGACAACUGACGGUGAGGCGCGAAAGCGUGGGGAGCAAACAGGAUUAGAUACCCUAGUA